Molecule: long non-coding RNA, 5963 nt
Filed under: Heterocephalus glaber (naked mole-rat)
Lineage: Eukaryota; Metazoa; Chordata; Mammalia; Rodentia; Bathyergidae
Description: lncRNA (ENSHGLG00000045952.1)
Source: RNAcentral
GACGGACAGUCAAGCGGACGCCAGCUCCGACAGCCGCCCCGGCCCACUGCAGAGGGGACUCAGGCGCUGAGAAGGAGAAGCGGCCCAGAGACUCAGCGCCACGUGGACACGAAGCUCGGCUCUCCGGGCCUGAAGGCCGGCUGCCCCUGGGCCAGAGGGAAAGGGGGUCUCUCCGGACUGGGGAAAGGAGGGGCUGUAUCGGAGGCACGGAGACUGAGCGCCAAAAGGACAGAAAUAAAGACAGCAGAAACGUCGGAAGAAAAGGAAUAUGGCCCGCGAAAGAAAAACCGCAGGGAAUAAAAGGAGGAAGGAAAUGCAAAGAGAAGAGAAAGAAAGUUGCCCGGACCCCCUUAGCCACAAGGGAAGAGGAGGGAACAACCCCCGACCGUUCUCUUCCCGCCCCCACCCUCCCGCUUUUGCUUUUGGCGGGGAAUCUGUCAGAAAGGGAAGGGGUGGGGUGGUUUUCACCUCUCAACAACACCCCCCACCCUACACCCCACACACAUCACCCAGAAACCUGGUGGAGGUGGAAGUAGGGAAUGCAAGCUACAGGGACUUGGGUCCUCUUAGCCAGAGCUGGCAGAAAAUAAUCCAGAGGAACCAGUUCCACCCGCCCCAUACACACAAAUCCACCAGCUCUGAAGGAUGUCUGGCGUCUAACGGUGCUGAGUACAUCCACUUUAUAUUUAUUCUGUGCACUGCUGUUUUACUUCUCAGACAAGAGAGGAGAAAUUAUCAAGGGAAGACGCUGAUCCUGGCACUGCCACCCUGACUCCACAGAUUUUUCCUCCGCUAGACUCAGAAGAAGUGAGGCCAGGUCUGCAAGGAAGGCCUGGCUGAGGCAGUAUAGAGUCCAGACGUUCAGAGUGCUUCUGAGGACAUGCUGUCUGGCCUCUCUUCCAAAAUCAGGAGGAGUGGAGCCCAGAAACUCCUUUCCCCACAGCCAUAUUCCAUGAUGACCACUCUACUUCCCACAAGCAUGCUAGAGUUCUCCCACCACCUGGCUUCAUCCACAUAGAACCAAGCCCCACGGGCCCUGCCGCCACCACCUGCACCAUGAGACUUAGGAUUCAGAGACUGAGGAAGCUUGUGAGUUGCUUUAAUAAAAAAAUACAAUGAACUCAACAGGCUUCAUAAAUUAUUAUUAAAUAGGGUCCUAUUCUCAGAAUUAUAUAAUUGGGGUAUUUUAAAGUGGAAGAGAUUCACAAAAGUGCAAUUAAGCUUCAAGGUAAGUCAUCUAAUCAAUUCAUCACAGCCAGCAAGCUCCUAUUCUACCACUACAAUGCUCUGGACCAGAGUCCAUCUUGGAACCAUGCCUUUCAUUCCAGAAGGGCGACUACACUCCUCCACCUACAAAACUCGGCUCAAUUUUGAGGACAUACUGCAGCAUGCAGAGGACAGAGAUUCAGACUGCACACUGCUCUGGGUCCUACAGCUCCCACACUACCUGGAAAUGACAAAAUUCCCUAAAACUUGGCGUACCCAAUCUGCAAAAACAGUGAGUCUAUGAUGCCUCCUUGAAAGCAAGUUUACAGUUACAGCAGAGACAAAAGGUCUGUAUCCACAGAAUACCACAGCCAAGACACCUAGGCCAAAUGAAUGGAAAUGGAUGGGAAGUAUACUAGCAAUCUUAGUUUCCCUUCAGCUGAUGAAAUGUACCCGAAAUAUAUCAGGUCCUGGAGAAAUAUACAGGGGAGGUGCUGGCUCCCUACUUCUCUAUUACCACCAGCACCGUGGAUUCAAGUACAGGUGCCUCAGCCUAUGGUUCUAGGUUCUAUGUGUGACAAACAAUGUGCAAUGCAAUUCCAACCGAGCUCAAGCUCCACUAUGACACAUUUAUACCUUCUGAUUAAUUCCACCCUAGCAGGAGAGGCAGGUUCCCAAGGGGCAAAGGGAAUCACAUAUUCUAGAUGAAUUGAUCCUGGCCCAAAAUGGUCUCUCCAGAUGCCUAUAAAUAGCCUUUCCUCCAAGGCUUCUAGUGAAAAAUACAGAUUGGCCCUCCUGGAGUCUAUGGUAGACUUCUCCUGUCCCACCUUACGAAAAUCCAGUCAGCUCUUCUGAGCCCAGGAUCAACCAAGUCAGUGGUCCAUGCCAGGAGGAAACCACCAGAGGACUCUUGCAAGCACCUGUGGUUGUCAGACUAAACUGCAUCUCUUGACUUCAGUUAAGUUUACUGAAAGGAAAGCCUGAGUAGCUGUUAUCUGCUGCAUUUGUUUUAAUUGGAGGAGAAUGGAGAAGGGGGAGAUUUAGGACUGAAUGGCGUUAGACUAGAAUAUUUAGAGCUGCAAUUCUCUUUGUGUAGCAGAGAUCCAGCUUGCUUCCCUGACACCCCCAGUUACCAGUGGAGUGGAAUGUUUCAGUGUGUGCUGAAGGAGGAGAUCCGGGAGUGCCUUCUGGGGCCAGGCAACAGGGUCUCCAGUAGUUCUCAAUCCCCGGGGCAAAGAUAAUUUCUUAGAUGAAGCAGUGGCUCAGCCACUGCUUUCGACCUGGCCUUGGGUCCCUCUUAACCCACUCACAGUGCAGGACACCCUGGGGGAGCCCCAAAGUUGCACCAAACCAACCCCCAGUGUUCUGGGUGCUAUCCAAGCUCAGGGAGCAGAGAGGUGUUUCAGCCCAGUCGCCCUAGGCCUCAGGCCCACCCAAGCGAGGGCUUUGUGCUGGCCCGGAUGACCUCGGCCUUCUUCCUGCUGAACUCCAAGCAGUGUACAGUACCCGGAUACAGCCACAACAAAGUUACCGACCUUGAGGAGCGUCCACAGAUCCUGACUGGGAGAAGGACAAGGAGGACCUACCAUAGUCCAACCAUCUGGUUUCACCACAGGCCAAAAAAAUGGAAAGGGCCCGGUUGGAGGCCGUAGGCAGAUAAGGGCAGUCAAAUGCUGGAUUCAAAACCCUCGGAUGGCCCUCUCCUUCCCUAGCCUCAGUCUGAGAUUGGGUCUCCCCUGUCCACAACCCCACCCCCACCCCAGGUGGGAACCCCAAGGACUUCCUGGACACCCUUUCCACCAUAUCACCACCUACACCACCCUUCAAAUACUCACCUCGGGCAUAUUUAGAGAGACUGGCCCCUAGGAAUAGGACCUGCACUCUUCCGACCGGGAGGGGUCCAGGCUGUGCGCCGGGUCUCUGCUUUCAGAGCCUCUCUAGCAGAGAGGCCAGCAGUUAGGCUGCGGUGUGGUCCUAGGCGGUCUGCCGCGCCCAAACCAGUUUCCAGGAAAGAUGGGGGUGGAGAGAAAGAGGGAGGGCAAGAGGGAGGGCGAGAGAGAAAUGGGGGUCAAUGGCUGGGAAUUACCUCGGGUCUCCUGCCAACCAGCCUGGGGAGUAGCUCGAACCGCUUCCUGCCCCCACCCUGCAGGUGUUUAGAGACUCAAUCCCACCUCGUCCCUGUAAAAAUGAACACUACACCUGACCAAUCAGAAAUAACUUUAGUCCAACAAAAACAACCCUUCCCUGCGAGAUGCCAAGAACAUUUUUGAACCCUGCAACUGGGGUCGGUGUUGUUCAACACAGCCGUUUGAUUUCCAAGCAGGGACGUGUCUACGCUCUUUUCUCCUUAACCUGAGCCAGGCUCCAGCAGUCACCACAGCGCGACAGUCGAGGGGUCAACCCUGGCCUGAGGUGGAGGGUGGGGGACACGUCCGGAAAGGUGGAUGGAGUCUCCAGGCCCUGGUCGCUGCGGCAGAACCUCAGAGCCCCCGUCCCCAAGGCCUUUGCCUUCCUCUCUGGACCCCCAGCUACCCACCUCCAGCCCAAAGCGAAACCAGAACCCCGAUUCCAAGGGUCGUACUUCCCUGCAGGAAUGGUGUGGGGGUGGGGGGAAGGGACAGAAAAUCUAUUCAGGUCCUUUCUUUUCUUCCUAUUGACAGAAAGAAGGAAAUAAAGAAAAUGCAGAAAAUAGGAUGAGAGAGGAAAAAACGGAGAAAGAAAUAAAGAAAAGAAAUCCCUUACCUUUACUACCCGUACAAAAUGAUUUUCGAUUUUUCUGUUUUAAACAGGCAGAAUAAGAAGGAAUGCUAAUAAGUUGUUGCAGUAAUAAAGCAAAAGAGAAAAAGGAUAAAAACAAACCCGACACUGCUUCCAAGGGUGUAGCUGUGUUUAGUUGCUUUUUCUCCCCCAGGAGGUUUUAAUUUGUUUUUGCCUAAACGUCCAGUUUAUGAUCGUACAUCGAAGUCUUGAAUUAAUUGAGAAGGCUUCCUUAUUUUGGCUGAGUCUUUUGUGGGAAUAUAGGAAUAAUUUUUCCCUGGUUGUCAAUCUAGUGCGGGAGGUUUUUCUUUCUCUUCUAACCCAAAUGGUGGGAGGGGAAGAGAGAGGGAGGGAAACCCACCCAUUCCUGGGGUUGGUUGGGGUUAGUGCUUGCUUAUGAAGGUAUUUCUGUCUGACCCUUUCUCCAUUUUCUCUCCUUACCCCAAACCCAGCAACUUAGAAAACAGACCAGGGGCGGGAGGGGGCGAGUCCUGUGCUGCUUUGUUCUCCCUCCUGGGGAGAUAAAGUGACACGCUGCUCCGUUUGGGGGCUAUUAUUUUAAUUAAAAUAGGGUGUUAAUGAUAGUGGCCGUGAUGAUGACGAUGACAUUAACAACUGGCAAAACAAAAUCCUUUCUUCUUGAGCCAGGCUAGCAUGGACCCCUUCCCUUCAAGGAGCCUGACUCGGCUACGGUCACCCGUUCGACCGGCAUCUGACCCACGCGGGAUGCGGCUCCUGAGGAGCGGGUGGGAAAUGGUCCCCAGAGGUGAUCUCCAGCCCUCCACCCCUAGUGGCGCAAGGCCUAGAAAAGGCAUCCAUUGUCCUUACCCGGCCUCUCCCACAGCCCACCGCGGCCGCGCCGGCGAAACUGACCAGAAAUGGGCGAAGCCGAAGUGCGGCGCGCACUGCAGACCCCGGCUCCGGGCUGGCAGGCGCGGGGCUCCGCGGGCUCUGCUCACCCGCGAGCUCUGCAGCGCCUCUGCUCUCCAGCGCACCCUUCAAAGGCCGAGGCACAGCCCGGCGCCGGACACAGCGACGGCCAGCGAGGGUCUGUCCGCCCUUCCAAGCCCACACUGUCUCCCGAAUACAUCAUAAUUUGGAAUAAAAUGUGAAACCCCGCUCCCCGCCCUCACGCCGACGCCCCCACUAGCGCCUCGGUCUCUCGCUCGCCACCCCCACUCCCGCCCCCAGCGAUUUGCAAACGCACCUCUAAAGGACACAAGCACACAGGCACGCAACUCAGUGCGGACAGAACCACACAGGGUCCAGCCUCGCAGGAGGGAGGCACACAAGCACAGCCCAGCCCUGUCCCACGCGCCGACAUGGUCAGCAGACCCGUGCUGUCCAACGCGACACAACGAAAUUGGUCAGCGCAGUCGCUCGCGGACACAAAACCCGACACGGUCAGACCACACACGCCCGACAGAACAACGAAACCACGCACGCACAGUCGCCGAGACCCUCGGCCCCACACAGACGCUGACUCCCGCUGAGAAAAGCAGCGGGCGCGAUGACACACAUCGAAUACAACGCAGCAGGGCCUCGAAGGGGCCAAAGCCACACACCCAAACAGAGCAGCCACCAUCAUACUCGGACGCGCGACCAAUCGCCAAAAGGACCACACUCGGGAGCAGGCGGCCUUGCCGCGGCUCACACACGUACACACACUCACGCACUCUCACAAUCCCACCGCAUGCACACAACCACCAAGAAGGAAUGAAAACCAACCACCGCCUCGCGCAUUUCUGUAUAUUGCGUAAGGAAAAAGGGGAAGGAAGGAAGAGAGUCUCCGAGGCAGGAGGGGCCGCGGCGCCGAGGGCGGAGGUGUCGGUGGAAAAUGCCCCCCAUCGAAAGGCGCCCCGGAGAGGAGCGCGGCGUCCCCGGCGGGUGCGGGAAGAGGGAGGAAACGGACGCGGGAUUUGGUGGAGGAAGCCGCUUCCCCUCUAGAAAGAGAACGAAUGCUCACGUUUUUCCGUAGGGGGUGCGCGUGUGGCCAUUUU